UGGGGGAUAUUGCACAAUGGGCGAAAGCCUGAUGCAGCGACGCCGCGUGGGGGAUGAAGGCUUUCGGGUUGUAAACCUCUUUCGCUAUCGAACAAGGCCCGCUUAGGGUGGGUUGAGGGUAGGUGGAGAAGAAGCGCCGGCUAACUACGUGCCAGCAGCCGCGGUAAUACGUAGGGCGCGAGCGUUGUCCGGGAUUAUUGGGCGUAAAGGGCUUGUAGGCGGCUUGUUGCGCCUGCUGUGAAAACGCGGGGCUUAACUUCGCGCGUGCAGUGGGUACGGACAGUCUUGAGUGUGGUAGGGGUGACUGGAAUUCCAGGUGUAGCGGUGGAAUGCGCAGAUAUCUGGAGGAACACCGAUGGCGAAGGCAGGUCACUGGGCCAUUACUGACGCUGAGGAGCGAAAGCAUGGGUAGCGAACAGG
This 420-nucleotide ribosomal RNA is filed under the name bacterium. RNAcentral's name for it is "partial 16S ribosomal RNA". It matches the Rfam family "Bacterial small subunit ribosomal RNA", at positions 355 to 776 of the family's 1533-position model. The record is from RNAcentral.